ACACUUCAUAGCCCAGAUUGUUAACCGCUGGGCCCUGCAGGGAGUUUAGCUCUCUCUGGGAAUUGUCCUUCUGUUUUCAUUUAAGCCGACUCUAGUCCCUAAAGAAGACGAUACACAACACUUGAAGAAGACGGAAAGAACUCACAAAAGGUAGGCAGCAACUCCAAGGCCAAAGGGUCUCCCAGGUAUUGUGCUAACGGGACCACUGUAUGGAUUCCCACCUGAGUCUGGCAGAGACAGAGUGAGGGACUCAGGGGUGUGGAUAGGCUCAAGGAAAGUAUUUUUCAUGCCUCUUUAAACUGAGAUCUGAGAGCUACAAGUACCCUGUGCCAUGUCCUCUUUGCACAUGAGAUUCUCCCAAAUAAGAGUGGUGUGGGAAGCAGAAUGUUCUAGAUGCCUAGGAAGAAAGCUCAGAGAUGGGAACACCUGCUGGAACAGCAUGGAACAGAGUCACUUAGAGUUUGAAACAUGCCCCUUCUACUCCCCUCUGGGUCUUUCGUUUUCACAGUCCUCUCAAACAGCUCAGACCUUGGGCGUGACUUUGGGGGGAAUUUCCCAUUUGGCUGGCUUAUUGUUGGGUCUGUUUAAAAAAUCCAGGUUAAUGUGAGCUCCCCAGGGCUAGGGUAGCAACAAACAACAAAUAGAACAGGGUAACAGGAAAGAUAAGCUUUAUUUUCUCACUCUGAUAAGGCUUCAGAGAGCAGAUUUUUCUCUUGCAUGCAGGUCCCCUUGAUCUAGGAACAGAGCCAAGGCGAGGAGGCCUGGGGGUCUCAGCAAAGUGAGGAAGCCAUCACCCAUGAACCAGGAGGCCGAGAGCAGGAGGAGAGGGGAGAAGAAGGGUAAGAGCAAGGAAAGGGGUCGAUUCGAGGCUGGUCUUCGGCUGUGAUUCUUUGGUUCCGUGUAGCUCGGCAGGUCAGCUGCAGCCCCAGGAGCAAUGGCAGUAACUGGAGCACCCAGAGGACCUCUCCUCGCAGCAGCCGGGAAGCUGGGGCGGGCUCAGGUAGACGCUGGGAAACCGGUGAGAAACUGGAGACAGGCUGACUUCAAAGCCAGAAACACAGCAGCUGGGAACGCAGCAGGAGUCGGCCGGAGGCGGGGAUGGGGCUGGACAAGAAGCAGGAGCCUGAGGGGCCUGCGGGGCCUGAGGGAGGCACUUAGGUGGACAUUUGGGGAGGGACGUGGCAGAGAGCUGGCUCUUCUGCUGCUUUUGCUGGUAAGACAUCUUGGAGAAAGUCGGGUACCCUGAAAAACAGUGCAGAUAUUUUGAAAGUCCAAUUAAUACAAACCUUGCUUGUA
Non-coding RNA from Microcebus murinus (gray mouse lemur), 1296 nucleotides. The record is from RefSeq and is a predicted model, not a curated record. NCBI's taxonomy places the organism in Eukaryota, Metazoa, Chordata, Mammalia, Primates, Cheirogaleidae.